This 146-nucleotide ribosomal RNA is filed under the name Salinivibrio sp. MA351. RNAcentral's name for it is "partial 23S ribosomal RNA". It matches the Rfam family "Bacterial large subunit ribosomal RNA", at positions 2797 to 2925 of the family's 2925-position model. Lineage: Bacteria; Pseudomonadati; Pseudomonadota; Gammaproteobacteria; Vibrionales; Vibrionaceae. The record is from RNAcentral.
CCCCGAGAUGAGUCAUCCCUAGAGCUUCGAGCUCUCUAAAGGGUUGUCGUAGACGACGACGUUGAUAGGCAGGGUGUGUAAGCGCUGUGAGGCGUUGAGCUAACCUGUACUAAUUGCCCGUGCGGCUUAACCAUACAACACCCAAG